GGAGGCAGAAAUAACUCCUCUGGGAACAACUUAAGCUACAAAUAUGUGUCCUGCUUCUUGUAUUUGUUCCAGUUUACCUGUGGGUGUUUUUGAAAACCACUAGAGAUACCAUGGAGCUACUGGAAGCAAUCUGGAGCCCAUCAAAAGCUGUGGUGCUACUGAAUUCACUGGAGAGCUGACCAGAAUCCUCACUCUGCCUUCCAGCCCUUUUCCUACUAUGAUUUGAAGAAGACAGUACAGAUAUCUUCAAAUGAUCUAAUGAAGGUGGUUUCAGAAGAUAAGGGUCAUAUUUUCUGUUUAGCCAUGUGAAUGUCAAUGUCAAUGAAUGUGCAGGGAUAGACCUGCAGAAAGUGUUUGUUUCUGUUUUAAUACAUUAGUUUGUUUAUAAUAGGUCUUUUUAUCUUGAAUGGAGUUGUCAAAAAAUUAAAUAAAAUAUUUAGGACAUCAUUAAAAAUAUUUUUCAUAGGAAAUAUGAGAGUAAAACCAAAUUGACACUCAAGGUUAAAAUAGAUUUCAGAUGAGUGCUUGUAAAUUUUAUAAAGCAAUAUCUAGAAUUAUACAUGACCUACAACCUACCCUAUAUUUAAUCAAACUAUUCAGCUGUUCCCAUGCUUAAUUUAAAAGUCAUUUUAUAGGGCAUCAGCACCUUGUUAGCCACAUUUUAAUUGACAAACCUAAACACCCUAGAAUUGCUGUGGAAAUCAGAACAUGAAGUAUAAUUCAUACUGCAGAUUUAAAUCUAUGUUUAUUUAAUCCCUUUGUUGAACUGAAUGAAAAUUUUAAUUGAAACAGACAAACCAACAAUCUGUGGCAACAAUUGUAGGUUCUAAGCUGCUUAAUGACAAUAGAAGUAGGUUAAAGAUUGCAGAUAGUAGGUUUAUGCCAGUUAGAUCUAGUUUGGGACAAGAUAUAGCUUAAAUAGGGAAUAGAAAUAGCCUUAUGUAUAUCACUUACAGUAGAACCUAUUGGGAACAUUUUAAGGGGCUUUAUUUAGUAAGCUUUUUUGAUAUUAAGCUGAGUAAUAAAGAGCUGGGUUCACCUCAGAAUCUUUGCUCUUCGGCCCUGAGCUAUGGUUCCUGCUGAACAGCCUAUUUGCAAAUAAGAUAAGAUAUUAAGCAUGCUUUUAAAUCUUAAUUUAAAACCUAGGUGAAAAGUCCUUUUCCCUAGCAAGCUCUCUUCCUGUUAGAGAGCUUUUAAUACUUCAGGAUUUAAAUAAGUUACUUUAAAAUUCUCUCAAGUGUUAACACGAUUGUUAUGUCUUUUGAUGUAUGCACAUUUAAUAUGUUUUAUUUUUGUUUGAUGUACCUACCUGUGCUGUUUGGUCAUGUAUCUUAUCAGUAUUUCAUUAUUAAAUUUGCUAUUAAACUGUA
Molecule: long non-coding RNA, 1370 nt
Organism: Alligator mississippiensis (American alligator)
Lineage: Eukaryota; Metazoa; Chordata; Crocodylia; Alligatoridae
Exons: 3
Source: RefSeq, a predicted model, not a curated record